Long non-coding RNA from Arabidopsis lyrata subsp. lyrata, 319 nucleotides. RefSeq lists it as uncharacterized. Lineage: Eukaryota; Viridiplantae; Streptophyta; Magnoliopsida; Brassicales; Brassicaceae. The record is from RefSeq and is a predicted model, not a curated record. The transcript is spliced from 2 exons.
CAGCUUCAUGGUGACCCCAGUUUUGGGUUGGGUCAGUGAGAUGUGGUUUGAUGAUCCAAGAAAAUUGGGUGACAAAGUUUCAGAGAUUGUAAAGAGGCAAGCGGUUGGUCAAUAGACGUAGUGAAGUUGUUCACAAGUCCAGUGGAGUUCAGUAAGUGGUUUUCUUGUGAUUGCUUUGUGCCCUCUAUAACACAUUCUUGGAGUUUUGUUAAGUGUUUGACGAGAUUGUGUUUAUCUAGUUUCCAUGGUUAUGUUUCAUUGAUUGAGACUCUUGCAUUUGCAAAUUCUUUUUAAUUUGUCUAACACAUGCUUACAAGGA